Molecule: ribosomal RNA, 253 nt
Filed under: uncultured bacterium
Lineage: Bacteria
Description: partial 16S ribosomal RNA
Rfam family: Bacterial small subunit ribosomal RNA
Source: RNAcentral
UACGUAGGCAGCGAGCGUUGUUCGGAAUUACUGGGAGUAAAGAGUGUGUAGGCGGUGCUCUAAGUUUGUUGUGAAAUCUCCCGGCUUAACUGGGAGGGUGCGGCGAAAACUGGAGUGCUCGAGUAUGGGAGAGGUAAGCGGAAUUCCUGGUGUAGCGGUGAAAUGCGUAGAUAUCUGGAGGAACACCGGUGGCGAAGGCGGCGUUCUGGACUGCAACUGACACUGAGGAACGAAAGCCAGGGGAGCAAAAGGG